GACGUAGGGCGCGAGCGUUGUCCGGAUUUAUUGGGCGUAAAGAGCUCGUAGGCGGCUUGUCGCGUCGACUGUGAAAACUUGGGGCUCAACCCCAAGCUUGCAGUCGAUACGGGCUGGCUUGAGUGCGGUAGGGGAGACUGGAAUUCCUGGUGUAGCGGUGAAAUGCGCAGAUAUCAGGAGGAACACCGGUGGCGAAGGCGGGUCUCUGGACAGUUCCUGACACUGAGACACGAAGGCCAGGGGAGCAAACGGG
This 253-nucleotide ribosomal RNA is filed under the name uncultured bacterium. Its description in RNAcentral is "partial 16S ribosomal RNA". It matches the Rfam family "Bacterial small subunit ribosomal RNA", at positions 524 to 776 of the family's 1533-position model. The record is from RNAcentral.